CCGGACAAGGACUCGCUGCAAGGCUGGGUGGGCUCGGUAUCAUCGGGACGUGACGGAAGCGUGCCAGGCUUGCACGCUGCCCAGGAGGCCCUGCUGACUCCUAAAGAAGAGAAGGAGGUCUAUUCUGCUGAAGCAAAAUUCAUUGAAGAACGUGGAGUUGCGCUCUCUAGAAAAGACCGGAAACCCACUGCCAAAACACCCACAACAAAAACACGACCAGAACGAAGGUGGAAAUGAGGAACGUGAAAACCGG
Molecule: long non-coding RNA, 253 nt
Organism: Fundulus heteroclitus (mummichog)
Lineage: Eukaryota; Metazoa; Chordata; Actinopteri; Cyprinodontiformes; Fundulidae
Exons: 3
Source: RefSeq, a predicted model, not a curated record